CAACAACUGAAACAUUAAUUCAGCUUGAAGGAUGAAGCAAAAUCUAAACGGGAUGAGAAAGGACUUGGUAACGGACGGAACGAUUUCCAAGUCGUAUGUAAAAUAAUCCCUCUAGCCUCCUUAGACGUAGCCCUUGGAGCUCCUGGGAUGGACAGGAUGUACCCGACCAAGGCGAUCUCGAUACCGAGGUGGCAGACUGGUCUUACUGGCCCUCAACAUAGCCCUCACGGCCGCGGGACUUGACUGCAGCCUCUUGUCAGCGACUACCCCAUAUAUGGACAAGAAAGCAUGGAACCUACAAUACCCAGCAAGCCUAAGAAUAUCCUGGGGCAGCUGUCAAGCAAUCUCAAUAGGAGUGGAAAGAAUCUCCUCUUGAUCCUGCUUGAAGUAAUUCCUCAGCCCAAAGUCUGCAAACAACGCCAUCGACGCAUUUUGAUCAGUCUUUUCACACAAGUUCGUCCCAGCGCCAUGAUAGCAAGGUUCCAGAGCUAGCUGAGCAGAUCGAGGAUCCAUCUCGAAGUAGCAGCAUUCUUCGACAUGGGGAAUUCUGCCGGCAGGUCAGAGGUGCGAAUUGGGGAUGACGGCAGUAGCACCCUUUUUCAUGGUGCACUUGGAGCUGAGGAUAAUACAGCCUAUCAUAGGGGGUGAAGAGGAAAUUGGUAGAGUCAGUGCGAAUGAGACAGGGAAUUUGGCCUUAUGACGGUGUGUGAGUCAGCCUUUCCAUGGAAAUCAAGAGAAGGAUGGAUGGUACUUGCUCGGUGAAGAAGUUGAGCUCUGCAGCCGGGACCAAUUUGCAAAGCAGCUGUAGAACCCAACACAUAACGGCUCUUCCGAGGAAUGAGCUUAGGACAGGUGUAAGGACAUAUUCGUCACUAUCGCACUAGAGUGUCGUCCACUUUAUCCAAGCAGAACUGUGCGAGCACUUACCUGAGGAGCUUGUCCAUGGUACUUUGCCGAAUAGGAGACCUCCUGACUUUGCUAACAAGGUCGGGAUCCUUCCUCUAGUGACCGUAAAAUGGGGUUGAAACGUCAAGUGAUAAAUCAAGGCCGACCUCCUUGUGCACAGAAGUAGACUUGUAAACGUCUCGAGCUGCAAAAUGAGGUUCAAUCGUCUCGAGAAACUGGCGAUGAAGCUCGGGAUAGAGGAAAUUCUUUGACAACGACAGCGCCAUCUUGAGUGAUUGCUUCAGGCAUUUUCGGGCUCGGACACGCCGACAUAGGCAACAGAGGAGGUGGCAAUGGUCAUGUUGAGAAGUCAACUUUGGAGUCGCAAAAGGUAUGAGGUAGGCAGGCAAAGAUUCGAGUAAGUCUGAAAGUGAAUGAAGGUGCUGCAUUGUCGAGGUACGUCUUUGAAAAUAUCAGCUGGUGUGUAUAACGGAAUAUGGCCCCACUAUCAUGUUACAGGAUGAAUCUCCAUAGAAGUAUGUAUGCACUCCAGGUUCCAACACUCG
Molecule: small RNA, 1451 nt
Filed under: Cryptococcus neoformans H99
Lineage: Eukaryota; Fungi; Basidiomycota; Tremellomycetes; Tremellales; Cryptococcaceae
Description: Cryptococcus neoformans var. grubii H99 hypothetical RNA
Source: RNAcentral